Molecule: non-coding RNA, 49 nt
Filed under: Alexandrium minutum
Lineage: Eukaryota; Dinophyceae; Gonyaulacales; Pyrocystaceae
Source: RNAcentral
UUUUUUUUUUUUUUUUUUUUUUUUUUUUUUUUUUUUUUUUUUUAAUCAG